UGAUCCUGGCUCAGAUUGAACGCUGGCGGUAGGCUUAACACAUGCAAGUCGUGCGAGAAAGUAUCUUCGGAUAUGAGUAGAGCGGCGGACGGGUGAGUAACGCGUAGGAAUCUACCUAGUAGAAGGGGAUAGCCCGGGGAAACCCGGAUUAAUACCGUAUACCUCCUUUGGGAGAAAGAAGGCCUCUCUUUAGAAGCUUUCGCUACUAGAUGAGCCUGCGUAAGAUUAGCUUGUUGGUGAGGUAAAGGCUCACCAGGGCGACGAUCUUUAGCUGGUCUGAGAGGACGAUCAGCCACAUUGGGACUGAGACACGGCCCAGACUCCUACGGGAGGCAGCAGUGGGGAAUAUUGGACAAUGGGCGCAAGCCUGAUCCAGCCAUACCGCGUGUGUGAAGAAGGCCUUCGGGUUGUAAAGCACUUUAAGCAGGGAGAAAAAGUUAUAAGUUAAUACCUUAUAACCCUGAUGUUACCUGCAGAAUAAGCACCGGCUAAUUCCGUGCCAGCAGCCGCGGUAAUACGGAAGGUGCAAGCGUUAAUCGGAAUUACUGGGCGUAAAGCGCGCGUAGGUGGUUUGUUAAGUUGGAUGUGAAAGCCCUGGGCUCAACCUAGGAACUGCAUCCAAAACUAACUCACUAGAGUACGAUAGAGGGAGGUAGAAUUCAUAGUGUAGCGGUGGAAUGCGUAGAUAUUAUGAAGAAUACCAGUGGCGAAGGCGGCCUCCUGGAUCUGUACUGACACUGAGGUGCGAAAGCGUGGGUAGCGAACAGGAUUAGAUACCCUGGUAGU
RNAcentral lists this ribosomal RNA (786 nucleotides) under uncultured marine bacterium. RNAcentral describes it as "bacterial SSU rRNA". It matches the Rfam family "Bacterial small subunit ribosomal RNA", at positions 14 to 794 of the family's 1533-position model. The record is from RNAcentral.